GUGCACAACUGCCAUUUUGAUAA
Molecule: non-coding RNA, 23 nt
Filed under: Arabidopsis thaliana (thale cress)
Lineage: Eukaryota; Viridiplantae; Streptophyta; Magnoliopsida; Brassicales; Brassicaceae
Source: RNAcentral